GAACCUAGUGAUAAUGUUAAUGAUAAUGUCCAUGUUGAGGCUCAACCUAGCAAAAACAAUGAACUGGAGAUUGAACCUGUUGUUGAUCUUGAUAACCCACAAUCGAAGAAUCAACGUCAUGAUAAGAGAGAUUUUGUUGCUAGGAAGCACGGUCGGGAAAGAGAACCAUGGGUUCAGAAACCCAUGCCCUUUCCUCCUAAACCAUCCAAGACAAAGGAUGAUGAGGAUUUUGAGCACUUUGCUAAAAUGAUUAGACCUAUUUUCUUAUGUAUGCGCUUAACUGAUAUGCUUAAAGUAAAUCCUUAUGCUAAAUAUAUGAAGGAUAUCAUCACAAAUAAAAGAAAGAUACCGGAAGCUGAAAUCUCCAUCAUGCUUGCUAAUUACACUUUUAAGGGUGGAAUACCAAAGAAACUUGGAGAUCCGGGUGUGCCAACUAUACCAUGCUCCAUUAAAAGAAAUUAUGUUAGAACUGCUUUAUGUGAUCUUGGAGCCGCUUUAGUGUUAUGCCUCUCUCUUUAUAUCGUAGACUUGAAUUGA
Molecule: ribosomal RNA, 537 nt
Filed under: Triticum aestivum (bread wheat)
Lineage: Eukaryota; Viridiplantae; Streptophyta; Magnoliopsida; Poales; Poaceae
Description: partial small subunit ribosomal RNA
Source: RNAcentral